Molecule: ribosomal RNA, 279 nt
Filed under: uncultured bacterium
Lineage: Bacteria
Description: partial 16S ribosomal RNA
Rfam family: Bacterial small subunit ribosomal RNA
Source: RNAcentral
UGCCAGCCGCCGCGGUAAUACAGAGGUGGCGAGCGUUGUUCGGAUUUACUGGGCGUAAAGCGCGCGUAGGCGGUAUGGUAAGUCAGAUGUGAAAUCCUAUGGCUCAACCAUAGAACUGCAUCCGAUACUGCCAAACUAGAGAUGAGUAGGGGAAAGUGGAAUUUUCGGUGUAGCGGUGAAAUGCGUAGAUAUCGAAAGGAACACCAGUAGCGAAGGCGACUUUCUGGACUCAUUCUGACGCUGAGGCGCGAAAGCUAGAGGAGCAAACAGGAUUAGAUA